CCCAGUCGAGCGGCGAACGGGUGAGUAACGCGUGGAUGACCUGCCCUUAGGUGGGGGAUAACCCGGGGAAACUCGGGCUAAUACCGCAUAACAUCGUGAGAUCAAAGGGGGCGCAAGCUCUCGCCAGAGGAGGGGUCCGCGUCCGAUUAGCUAGUUGGUAGGGUAAUGGCCUACCAAGGCGACGAUCGGUAGCCGGCCUGAGAGGGUGAUCGGCCACACUGGAACUGAGACACGGUCCAG
Molecule: ribosomal RNA, 240 nt
Filed under: uncultured bacterium
Lineage: Bacteria
Description: partial 16S ribosomal RNA
Rfam family: Bacterial small subunit ribosomal RNA
Source: RNAcentral